AACUUGUGAUAUGGACAAAUAUUUAUCAGAUCCUUGAACCUCUCCCAGCAAGCCCAAAAAUUCUCAUCACUCUUCUGCAUAAACUAAGAUAUGUUCCUGCAAAAAUU
Molecule: small nucleolar RNA, 107 nt
Organism: Malania oleifera
Lineage: Eukaryota; Viridiplantae; Streptophyta; Magnoliopsida; Santalales; Ximeniaceae
Source: RefSeq, a predicted model, not a curated record